GCGGUGGAUGAUGUGGUUUAAUUCGAUGCAACGCGAAAACUUACCCACCUUUGACAUGUACGGAGACCUUUAGAGAUAGAGGCGUGCUCGAAAGAGAGCCGUAACACAGGUGCUGCAUGGCUGUCGUCAGCUCGUGUCGUGAGAUGUUGGGUUAAGUCCCGCAACGAGCGCAACCCUUGUCAUUAGUUGCUACAUUCAGUUGGGCACUCUAAUGAGACUGCCGGUGACAAGCCGGAGGAAGUGGGGAUGACGUCAAGUCCUCAUGGCCCUUAUAGGUGGGGCUACACACGUCAUACAAUGGCUGGUACAAAGGGUUGCCAACCCGCGAGGGGAGCUAAUCCCAUAAAGCCAGUCGUAGUCCGGAUCGUAGUCUGCAACUCGACUACGUGAAGUCGGAAUCGCUAGUAAUCGUGGAUCAGAAUGUCACGGUGAAUACGUUCCCGGGUCUU
Molecule: ribosomal RNA, 449 nt
Filed under: uncultured Rhodoferax sp.
Lineage: Bacteria; Pseudomonadati; Pseudomonadota; Betaproteobacteria; Burkholderiales; Comamonadaceae
Description: bacterial SSU rRNA
Rfam family: Bacterial small subunit ribosomal RNA
Source: RNAcentral